AAGAAUCAAUAUCAAUCCUCCAAUAAUCAAAGCAAAAAUAAAAAGAGGUUGCAUAUAGGUGCAAAUAUCUCAGCCCCUUUUCUUGGUUUCUUUCUGAAGAUCAGUUCUUGAAAUCAACAUCAAAUUUUCAAUAAGCCAAAGCAACAAAAAAAGCUGCUUAUAAGUUAUCCCUUUUCUUGGAUUCUCGAGCGCAGUUUCUUGAAAUCAAACAUGAUGUCAAUUUUCAGUUCCUUUGAUGCACUUUGUGCAGAGUCUUUUGGCCAGAAAGUUGCUCUUUCUUGGGCUCCCUCGUCCAACAAGGAAGUGCAAAAUCGAGGGGUUUCCAAGAAAAUUGAUGAGGUGAAGAAGGGCAAAGAUGUAAAUGCUUCGUCCCAGCCACCGUCUCAGGCUAAGAAAUCAGAAGAUCACCGGCCGAGAUUCGCGCCGGAGUUUGAUGGUCUGCACUGUUUUGAGAGCAUUAUUCCUUAUUGAUCAUAACAAUUGAGUAUUGGAAUAUUUGUGAUUUUUAUUUUUUUGUAGUUCAUGGCGUGAAGUCCAAUUCUUGGUAUAUAACUAAAUUGCAAGCGUUCCUCUGGAUUGACUACUUAUUUUAUUGUAUUGUAUUUUAUUUGCAUAUUUUUUACAAGAGAAGAUAAAUAUCUCAAUCUUUUGACCUUGUUCUCUAUUAGGAUAACGUGGACGAAAGAGGUCCAUUCGCGUCCACGUAAGCAAACUUU
This 716-nucleotide long non-coding RNA is filed under the name Olea europaea (common olive). RNAcentral's name for it is "long non-coding RNA (OEUR_LNC007188)". Lineage: Eukaryota; Viridiplantae; Streptophyta; Magnoliopsida; Lamiales; Oleaceae. The record is from RNAcentral.